RNAcentral lists this ribosomal RNA (470 nucleotides) under uncultured Caldilineaceae bacterium. RNAcentral's name for it is "bacterial SSU rRNA". It matches the Rfam family "Bacterial small subunit ribosomal RNA", at positions 8 to 481 of the family's 1533-position model. The record is from RNAcentral. Lineage: Bacteria; Bacillati; Chloroflexota; Caldilineae; Caldilineales; Caldilineaceae.
AGAGUUUGAUCAUGGCUCAGGAUGAACGCUGGCGGCGUGCCUCAUGCAUGCAAGUCGAACGGGGAAACUUUGAGUAGCAAUACUUAGGGUUUUCUAGUGGCGAUCGGGUGAGUAACACGUAGGUGACCUGCCCCGAAGAGGGGGAUAACGACCCGAAAGGGUUGCUAAUACCCCAUGUGAUUGGUAAUUCAUUUUGCCAAUUAAAGCUUCCGCAAGGAGUGUGCUUUGGGAGGGGCCUGCGGCGGAUUAGAUUGUUGGUGGGGUAAUGGCCUACCAAGUCGAUGAUCCGUAGCUAGUCUGAGAGGACGAUUAGCCACACUGGCACUGACACACGGGCCAGACUCCUACGGGAGGCAGCAGCAGGGAAUAUUGCACAAUGGGCGAAAGCCUGAUGCAGCAACGCCGCGUGAGGGAUGAAGGUCUUCGGAUUGUAGACCUCUUUUACAGGGGACGAGAGAGGACGGUACCCU